AUCCAGCUGACGAGUCGUAGAUAAGACGAAACACAUGUCCUAGAU
RNAcentral lists this non-coding RNA (45 nucleotides) under Schistosoma margrebowiei. Lineage: Eukaryota; Metazoa; Platyhelminthes; Trematoda; Strigeidida; Schistosomatidae. The record is from RNAcentral.